Molecule: long non-coding RNA, 1816 nt
Organism: Haplochromis burtoni (Burton's mouthbrooder)
Lineage: Eukaryota; Metazoa; Chordata; Actinopteri; Cichliformes; Cichlidae
Exons: 3
Source: RefSeq, a predicted model, not a curated record
AUACCACCCUGAAUAUUACUUGGUAUCGGCUCGGAAAGAAAAUCAGUGGUAUCGCACAUCACUACUGAACGACAUUGACCGAAAAUUCUUUUCAAUAUGGCUGCCCUUCUCGAGCGACUAGAGAGCACAUUUGGAGAAACUUGUCAGUAAAACGGAACCUUCGUUAUGUUUAUUUUAAAAAAGCAAGUAUAUUAAUAUGUUGCAGCCAGGAACUUCUUUUCGAAUGCGCUGUUGUGUUAAAAAGCACAGACCCAGGUGGUGAAUAGUUGUUCGCUGUUGUUCGUGCUCUUUUUUCAAACAUAGAUUAUGUUGUCAGUUUUACAGUUUUAACAGAUUAAAACACAGUUUUAAUAAGAAUCACACAUAAAGAGAGGGUCUUAGUGAUAUUUUAACGACCCCUUGCCAACGCAAGAAAGUUUUCACAACAGCAGCCUCAUUGUUCGGCAGUUUUUUUUUUUCUUCUCAUUAGCAUCAUUCAAAAGUGACUUAGCUAGCAGUGGCAACUUCUAUCUAAAACAAUUAAAAGUAAUACCCAGAUUGAAAUAUAGCAAGGUGUUGUAUAUUUAGUGUGCUGAUAAGGUUUUCAGUAUUUUUAUUUUUUCUUCCAAGGCUGAAGACCGAAGCCAAAAAGACCGAAGAAAAAAAAUUCAGACUGCAAGUAAUUUCAGGUGGACACAGUAAACACAGGUGAGUUGAAAGAUCUAUUAAAGAGUCCUUUCUUCAUGGCCAUUAAAACAUUUUUAGGUUAAAAGACCUGUUUUUUUAAAUCAUGCCCCUGCUAUGUCACACUGAAUCAUGUUGAAAAGAUAUAUUUUCAUGGCUCCCCCCAUUACCAUUACCUUGUACUUCUUUCUACCAGUCUAUUUUAUUUUGUGACAUUAACAUCUUAAAUGUACCCCUAAUUAUUAAUAGCUGUGUUAGUAUUUAUAAUGCAUUUUUUUUAUCAUGUGCAGAUCUACCAAGGGUCAGUGGCACAGUUCACCUUUUGUGGAGGCACCUGAUAUCAACGUGAAACGCACUGCAGUGCUUCGUGCCCUUCCUGUAUACCUGCAGGAGGAGGACCCAGAAUUCUUUAAGACAUGUAAUGUACAUAAAGCCCUAACUGGACCGAGAGCAUGUAGGCGCUCCUGCCCGAGGCAAAUCACACACGCAUCAUGUGUAUCUGAACCUGAGAUUUUGCAACCGCAGGGGCGAAUUCUGGGCAGCGGUUUGCAGUCUGCCAUAUUAAGGAAGCUUGGUGUAGCUAGCUUGGAAUGGCUGGACGGCUAACGCUGAUUUUUUAUUUAUUUUUUUCUUCUCUCGGUCGGGUAGCUAUGGUGAACUAGUAUGACCUAGCUAGUGUGGUGGCUAGCGCUUGUGCUACUUGGCUUGGUGACCGUGUGUAGCAAAGACAGUUAGCUUGGUCAGCUAACUGUUGUGCUAGGUGCGUGGUGGCAGCUAACACACUCUCCGACCUGGCUCUGUGGUGAAGAGCAAGCGACUCGAAACGCGAGCCGUGCUAGUGCCCAGUGACCAAGGUGUUAGCUUGCUUGCGUGGACAGUUAAGCUAGCACUCAUGUUCACAGUCAGGAGAGAUGAGGUUUCUAAGAAGCGAGAAGAGGAAAUUGAAUGACGGGUGACGCUGCGUCACACCCUUUUAUAGGGAGAAGGGUGGCCCCUCCCUGACGCAAGCGUCAUGACUGCCAGCCAAUACUGGCUGGAGUAAUGAUAUAGAGGCUUCUGAGGACAACGCUGAGAGAGCGUUCCCCAUAGUGAGACACCGAAACGAAUGUUUGAAAGAGAACAGGAGGGAGAGACAGAGAAAGAGCCAGGAACA